AUCGAUCUCCCUUGGAUCUUGGUCUUUUGAAGUUAUUAUUCCUUUUUCUCCAGAGUUGUUUUACUCUUCUGGUUAAAAGGGAUAAUUCUUCCUCAUCGUCAGAGUCUUCUUUUUCAGAGUCAUCAAUGUCUUCUUCCUCAGCCUGAAAGGCUUUGUUUCUAUCAAACUUGCGUCUUUCUGAUAUGGACUUUAGUGCUACAAACUUGAUCUUC
This 212-nucleotide long non-coding RNA is filed under the name Lathyrus oleraceus (garden pea). Its description in RNAcentral is "Pisum sativum (pea) long non-coding RNA (PSAT_LNC025905)". The record is from RNAcentral. Lineage: Eukaryota; Viridiplantae; Streptophyta; Magnoliopsida; Fabales; Fabaceae.